UAAGGAAUAUUGGUCAAUGGACGAAAGUCUGAACCAGCCAUGCCGCGUGGAGGAUGAAGGUCCUCUGGAUUGUAAACUUCUUUUAUUUGGGACGAAAAAAGGGAAUUCUUUCUCACUUGACGGUACCAGAUGAAUAAGCACCGGCUAACUCCGUGCCAGCAGCCGCGGUAAUACGGAGGGUGCAAGCGUUAUCCGGAUUCACUGGGUUUAAAGGGUGCGUAGGCGGGCAGGUAAGUCAGUGGUGAAAUCUUCGAGCUUAACUCGGGAACUGCCAUUGAUACUAUCUAUCUUGAAUAUUGUGGAGGUAAGCGGAAUAUGUCAUGUAGCGGUGAAAUGCUUAGAUAUGACAUAGAACACCUAUUGCGAAGGCAGCUUACUACGCAUAUAUUGACGCUGAGGCACGAAAGCGUGGGGAUCAAAC
RNAcentral lists this ribosomal RNA (421 nucleotides) under uncultured bacterium. RNAcentral's name for it is "bacterial SSU rRNA". It matches the Rfam family "Bacterial small subunit ribosomal RNA", at positions 355 to 773 of the family's 1533-position model. The record is from RNAcentral.